RNAcentral lists this ribosomal RNA (490 nucleotides) under uncultured bacterium. RNAcentral describes it as "partial 16S ribosomal RNA". It matches the Rfam family "Bacterial small subunit ribosomal RNA", at positions 30 to 507 of the family's 1533-position model. The record is from RNAcentral.
AUUGAACGCUGGCGGCAGGCCUAACACAUGCAAGUCGAACGGUAACAGGAAGAAGCUUGCUUCUUUGCUGGCGAGUGGCGGACGGGUGAGUAAUGUCUGGGAAACUGCCUGAUGGAGGGGGAUAACUACUGGAAACGGUAGCUAAUACCGCAUAACGUCGCAAGCCCAAAGAGGGGGACCUUCGGGCCUCUUGCCAGCGGAUGUGCCCAGAUGGGAUUAGCUAGUCGGGGGGGUAACGGCUCACCUAGGCGACGAGCCCUAGCUGGUCUGAGAGGAUGACCAGCCACACUGGAACUGGGACACGGUCCAGACUCCUACGGGAGGCAGCAGUGGGGAAUAUUGCACAAUGGGCGCAAGCCUGAUGCAGCCAUGCCGCGUGUAUUAAGACGGCCUUCGGGUUGUAAAGUACUUUCAGCGGGGAGGAAGGGAGUAAAGUUAAUACCUUUGCUCAUUGACGUUACCCGCAGAAGAAGCACCGGCUAACUCCGUG